UUUGACCUCGGAUCAGGUAGGAAUACCCGCUGAACUUAAGCA
This 42-nucleotide ribosomal RNA is filed under the name Harknessia gibbosa. RNAcentral's name for it is "partial 28S ribosomal RNA". RNAcentral also lists the same sequence under 1 other name. Lineage: Eukaryota; Fungi; Ascomycota; Sordariomycetes; Diaporthales; Harknessiaceae. The record is from RNAcentral.